AAACGACUCUCGGCAACGGAUAUCUUGGCUCUCGCAUUGAUGAAGAACGUAGUGAAAUGCGAUACUUGGUGUGAAUUGCAGAAUCUCGUGAACCAUCGAGUCUUUGAACGCAAGUUACGCCCUACGCCAUUAGGCUGAGGGCACGCCUGCCUGGGCGUUACG
Molecule: ribosomal RNA, 162 nt
Filed under: Platanus x hispanica
Lineage: Eukaryota; Viridiplantae; Streptophyta; Magnoliopsida; Proteales; Platanaceae
Description: 5.8S ribosomal RNA
Rfam family: 5.8S ribosomal RNA
About the family: 5.8S ribosomal RNA (5.8S rRNA) is a component of the large subunit of the eukaryotic ribosome. It is transcribed by RNA polymerase I as part of the 45S precursor that also contains 18S and 28S rRNA.
Source: RNAcentral